AACAAAGACCCAAGGCAGCCAAAAAUAAAUUUUUUUAAAAACGCUCAAUUUAAAAAAAAAAAAAAAGAGUAGAAACUUAUGGAGGUCAGGUCCAUCUCACAGUAGGUCCAGUGGGUCCCUGAACCCACCUUGUGGUUAUGGCCCCAGUUCCGGGAUGUAUAGUUGAAAUAGACACACAGGCACAUCUUGUUUUACUGUGCUUCACUUUAUUGUACUUCGCAGAUAACUGUUUUUUUUUGCAGAUUGAAGGUUUGUGUCACCCCUGCGCUGAGCAAGUCUAUCAGGACCAUUCUUCCAGCAGCAUUUGCUCACUUCGUGUCUCUGUGUCAGAUCUUGGUGAAUCUCUCAAUGUUUCAAAUCCUCCACCAGCAAAAAGAUGAUGACUCGCUGAAGGCUCAGAUGAUGAUCAGCAUCGUUAGUUAGCAAUACAGUAUUUUUAAAUUAAGUGGACUGCAACCAAACCCGCGGUAUCUCCGAGGUGUGCCUGUACUUAGCAACGGGCAGAAUCCCCACAUUGGUUCCCUCACGUGUGGAGUGAGGCCUAUUAUGGUAGGAAAACCAAGUGGAAGUCACGAGGACUGCCUCUACCUAGGAAAAUGGUAAAUGAAAGACAAUACUGCAUCCCUGGAGGGACUACAGAGACCAGUGCCACCAUCAAGGACUUGAGAGAUGCAGGGGUGCUGACUCCCACAUCUCCAUUCAACCCCCGUUCUGUCUGUGCGGAAGACAGAUGGAUCGUGGAAGGUGACAGUGGAUGAUCAUAAACCGAUGACUGGAGGUGGUGGCUCCAAUUGCAGCUGCUCUUCCAGAUGUGGUUUCAUUACUUGAGCAAAUUAACACAUCCCCUGGUUCCUGGUUUGCAGCUACUGAUAUGGCAAGUGCUCUUUUCUCAGUACCUGUUAGUAAAGACCACGAAAAGCAGUUUGCUUUCAGCUGGCCAGACCAGCAAUACACCUUCACUGUCCUGCCUCGGGUAGAUCAACUCUCCAGCUUGAUGUCAUUAUAAUUUGGUCUGCAGGUAUCUUGAUCACCUUUCCCUUCCACAAAAUAUCCCACAGGUUUAGCAUCGAUGAUAUAUGCAGAUUCCAUCUAGAGAACAAGAAGUAGUAACUAUAGAUAUACUGGUAAGACAUUUGCAUUGUCGAUGGUCGGAAAUAAAUUUCACCAAAAGUCAGGGGCCUUCCACCUCAGUGAAAUUUCUAGCAAUGCACUGGUUGGGUGCGUGUCAAGAUACCUGUUUUUUCAGUGAAGGAUAAGUUAUUGCAUCUGGCCCCUCCUGCAGCCAAAAAACCAGGCACAACACCUAGUUGGCCUCUCUGGAUAUUGGACCUCUCUGGGUGUGUCACUCUGGCCCAUUUACCAAGUGACCUGAAAAGCUGCCUAUUUUGAGUGGGGCCCAGAACAAGAGAAAGAUUUGCACCAGGUCCAGGCUGCUGUGUGUGCUGCUCUGCCACUUGGGCCACAGGAUCCAGCAGAUCUCCUGGUGCUUGAAGAGGCGGGGGCAGGCAGGGAUGCUGUCUGGAGCUUGCGACAGGUCCCUACAGAUGAAUCACAGUGGAGGCCCUUAGGAUUUGGGGGCAAAGUCCUGCCAUCCUCUGCAGAUAAUCCCUUUCCUUUUGAGUAACUACUGGGCCAUUGGAUUUACAUCUGCAAAGACUCUAUUUCCAAAUAAGGUCAUCCAGGGUUCUGGAUGGACGUGAACCUGGGGGGACGCAAUUCACCCCACAACAGGGAGAAGUGCUUUCCGGAGACACAACAUUGAUGUCAUUGAACUGGAAGUUCAGACAGCUACCAGCCACUUUGGGCUCCUUAAGCCUCCAAGUCGUCAGGCAGAGAAGGGAGUUAUCCUAUUGGCUGGGGUGACUGACCCUGACUACCAAGAGGAAAUCGGGCUGCUACUAUACAAUUAAGGAAGAAGAUGUGUGGAAUCCUUACAGGAGAUCCCUAAGGCUACCCUGCCUUAAAGUCGAUGGAAAAUGCAAUUAAGGCAGAACUACUAAUGGCCCUGACUCUUCAGGAAUGAAGGUUUGGGACACCCCAGCAACCACGACCAGCCAAGGUGCUUGCUGUGGGUGUGGAAUGGGUAGUGGAAGAAAGUAGUUGUAAAGACCAGCUACAUCUAUGUGACCAGUUGCAGAAAUGAGGCCUGUAAUCAUCUUGUAAUUUUCAUGUAGUUCAUCACCUUGUGCUGUUCGUAUCUUCAGACACAAACUUGUAUAGAUAUAUACCUGCGGGAUCAUAUUUCCCCGACCAGAGAUCGAACCCCUGCCGCCUGCAGUGGAAGCACAGAGUCUUAACCACUGGACCACCAGGGAAGUCCCUACAUCACAGGAUUUAGGUUACAGGAUCUCACAGAGAAGAGUAACUGUCACCCACGGACUUGGCAUCCUCUUCUGGGGAAAGGAUCUGUGUGUUCUGGGUUAUAGACAGGAUAGUUGCAUCACAUUCGAUGGAAGCAAGGCUUUGUUAUUUUCUUUAUCUGGAGAUUAAGUGUGGUUUAAGGACGUGUGCAUGGGUAGCAAGCUGAUAAAAGGUGAACUGGGCUAGGCCUAGUCAUUCAAUCAAACACUAAUCUAGGUGUUGCCAGGAGGUUAUUUUGCAGAUGUGAUUAACAUCUACAAUCCGUAGACUUUAAGUAAAGGAGAUUAUCCUCUGCAUCUGAGUUGGCCUCAUCCAGCUAGCUGAAAGAUCUGAAGAGACAAAUUGAGGUUUCCAGAGGACGAAGCCGUUAAGGCCGCGGGCGGCAGUAUCAGCUUCUUUUCAAGAGUUUCCAGCCUGCCGGCCUGCCCUGCAAUGUCAGACUCACCUAGCCAGCCUCUACGAUCAUGUAAGCCCAUUUCUUGAAAGACAGAAACAAGCAAAUAAUCUCCUAUGGGUUCUUUUUCUCUGCUAGAGCCCUGACUGCUAGAGGGCCCCAGCUCUGGAGGUUAGGAGUCCUGCUCCUCAGCCUGGUGCACCACACUGACCAGUGGGGUGGCUGCCAGGCAGGCUGUGUCCCUUGUUCAGAAUCAGCUGCCCCCCGGCUCUGCUUGAGACCAAAGGCAUAUGGGGGCAGCUCCAGAGAAGGUAUAAGGCUUUGCUCUGUGCCUCACAAAGAAGGUUUCCCAUUCCAGAAGUGAGCUGGGCAGCCUUGGGGAAAUGGGAAGAGGCAGCCUCCGCUGGAAGCACGUCCUUAGGGUGGAAGGGGUGGGAUAUAACGGUGCAGGGAGCAGGAAGUGAGGUGGGGCUAGCUGUCUCCGACGUGACACAUCCAAGAGUGGCUUUGCCCGCAGUGGUACCCAGUGGCCCGGCAGCAGCCGACUCGGACGCUCUGAUGCCUGUGGUACUCAGGCAUGGCAGGAGCUUGCGUUCCCGGCCACACAGCUGGCUGAAGAACACACAGGCAGGCACGUGUCACGGGGUCGACAGUCACAGUUACGCACUCAGGACCUUCCUGGUGCCGGGUGUUCCUGCCCUCAUGGAGCUUACAUCCUGGCAGGAUGACAGAGACUAAAGAAGGAAACAAGUGGACAUAAAAUGACAAGUACUGGGGAAAAAACAGAAAGAAAAGAGAAUAAUGGGAUGGGGGACACUAGUUAGCAGUGGGUUUGGGGGAGGACAAGUGGUUAGACAGUGGUCAGGGAAGGCCUCUGAGGAGGUGACGCCGGAAUGAUGAGCUGAAGCAAACCAAGCAAAGAUUUGGGGAAGGGUCUUCCAAGUAGAUAGGUGAGUGCAAAGGUCCUGAGGCAGGAACAAGGUCAGCAUAGCCAAUGCCUUAGAAGGUGGCAGGCGGCUGAAGUUGAGUGAAGGGGGUGGUGGGUGAAGGGAUCCAAAAGUGGGGGGACAGAUCAUAUAGGGCCUUCUAGGCCAUCGUAAGGAAUGUGGGUUCUAGUCAAAGUGAGAUGGGAUCCAUUGGAGGAGUCAUAAGGGAGGGAA
This is a non-coding RNA of Delphinapterus leucas (beluga whale), 3915 nucleotides long. Lineage: Eukaryota; Metazoa; Chordata; Mammalia; Artiodactyla; Monodontidae. The record is from RefSeq and is a predicted model, not a curated record.